Molecule: ribosomal RNA, 43 nt
Filed under: Tuber himalayense
Lineage: Eukaryota; Fungi; Ascomycota; Pezizomycetes; Pezizales; Tuberaceae
Also listed under: 2 other names
Description: partial 28S ribosomal RNA
Source: RNAcentral
UGACCUCGAAUCAGGUAGGGAUACCCGCUGAACUUAAGCAUAU